Mesocricetus auratus (golden hamster) is the source of this 1628-nucleotide long non-coding RNA. RefSeq lists it as uncharacterized. Lineage: Eukaryota; Metazoa; Chordata; Mammalia; Rodentia; Cricetidae. The transcript is spliced from 3 exons. The record is from RefSeq and is a predicted model, not a curated record.
UUCUGGUAGACAGGAGUGGAAAAUAGAUCUAUCUAUUCAUCCUUUGGCUUAAGAUCUGGACUGGCCACAUUUAUCUGUAUGUGUCUUAGACACAGUGCCCUGUACAGAGAUACACAAGGUAGAUCACGGUCUACAAAAAGAACAAUGACUGCAGAACCUAGAGGAAGUUAUUCCAUCUUUGAGCCUGUUCCUAAACCUGGGGCAUCUGAUAACUGCAUACAAGGGAGUGUCAUCGCUGGGGUCCCGUUGAGCUCCAAGCCUCGCUGACUCUUCUGCCACAAGCACAUCUUGUAGGAUCCUUUGGGUUUGUUCUGCAUUACAACAAGAUGAUUGUCUCAUUUCUGACACUGGUGUAAGGCUGAUUGCUGCUGCCACUCCUCUUUUCUUCUCUAAGUUCCUGCUGCAUGCCUGCAGUGUGCUGGGACGCUUCCUGCCGUGAUGGACUCUCAACCUCUGGAGCCAUAAGUCAAAUAAGCCAUCUCUUCUACAGGCUGACUGCAACAUGGUGUUUUAUCACAGCAACAGAUAAGUCGUUGAAGCCCUCAUAUGAGCCUGACCCCAGGCUUGCCCAUUGCAGACAUUUGACUUGUGUACUAUUACCUGUACUAAACCCCUUGGGAGGAGAGGCUGAUACCCUUGAGGUGAGCUAUAGGAAAGAUGGAUUGGGGGCUGUCCUCCUGGCUGUUUGCUCAUAUGCUUACACCUGAAUUGUGCUUCCAGUCCCACUCCUCAUUCAUACUAGAUAGAGUAUUCUACCUCCCUCAGAGAGCUCUGCCUGAGAGCUGCUCACUCAGUCCCACUAGAAUGUGUUUACCAGUGUGCCUGUGAAUGGCAGCAGCUAGCCCCUUUUGUAUUGUGGGAACUGCAAAGUCUCUCUGGUGUUAAUAUGCACUGAGGCUACCCACAGGCCGAGAAAGAAAGAAGGCGGAUUUCACAACCGCUCAUCGUAAAGCAGCCCCAUUCUAGGCCAGCAAGGGCGAGCCCCUUAGAGCAAGAUGAGUCACCCAGCUCUGGGGGAGGUGGACUUGAGACUUCGAAGAUAACUUGUUUAACAGUCCAGAAUUAGCACUAGGGAACGUCCCUUACACAAUCAGGCUAAAACUCAAAUUCUGACAUUCAAGUGCCAAGGGAACAUGAACUUUUUAAAAAUUUUAGUUUUUAAAACUCAAGUUAGAAACCAGCUCUCCAAUGCUGAGCAUGCUUACACAAACCUCUAAUCCCAGCCCUGGGGAGGCUGAGCCAGGAGGAUCAUGAAUUUGAGGAUAGCUUGGGCUAUUAUUUUGUUUCACAAAAUAAAAACAAAAAUCGCUCUCCACUUCCAUUUUGAUUGUGUCAUUGCUAUUAUCUUUCCUUUGCAACUUUUUGAUUUUUAAGUCUUUUUAGAGUCCCAUAGAACUUUCAAAAAAAAGCAUGGAGAAUUCCCAUGUAGGCUUUUCUCAACUUUUCUUAAUAAGAACAUUGUUUAUAACCUUAACUGAUUAAAACCAGGAAAUGGAUGUUGGCACAACACUGAACUACAGAUGUUAUUCGUAUCCCCUUGGUCUUUAUGGUGCUCAUUAUGAUUCGUUUGUAGUUCUAUCAGGUGUGCAAUUUGUGCGACUAAAGAUCCAGUAAACAUCUCAACUGAA